RNAcentral lists this long non-coding RNA (1862 nucleotides) under Ursus maritimus (polar bear). RNAcentral's name for it is "lncRNA (ENSUMAG00000000897.1)". Lineage: Eukaryota; Metazoa; Chordata; Mammalia; Carnivora; Ursidae. The record is from RNAcentral.
AAUGGCGUCAGCUUCACCAAGGGCUGCUACAUCGGGCAGGAGCUGACCGCCCGCACCCACCAUGUGGGCGUCAUCCGCAAGCGCCUGUUCCCGGUGCGGAUCUCCGGCCCUCUCCCUGCCGGGGGCAUCACCCCUGGUACCUCGGUGCUCACUGAGUCGGGGCAGGCAGCGGGCAAGUACAGGGCAGGCCAGGGGGACGUGGGCCUGGCCUUGCUGCGGUCAGAGAAAAUCAAGGGCCCUCUCCACAUCAGGACCUCUGAGAGUGGCCAGCUGGCCUUAACUGCGUCUGUGCCGGACUGGUGGCCCACAGCCACCAAGUAACGCUGGACAUCCCACUGUUCCUGUAGGCUCUGGAGCUGCCAGGGUGCCAUGGGGGGUCCUGUCCAUCUGCUGCACAUCCCCUCUGGAGGCCCUCCAGUGUAGUGGGCCUCCCAGGCUGCAGGCAUCGUGGGCGUUCCGGAGUGGCCCCGGCAUUUCCUGCCCACCAUGCUUCCCACCCAGGGCCCGCUGCCCAGCUUGGGCUGUCCUCUCUUGGCUGCUCUGUGGCUAGGAGGGGCAGGAGUACUCCCGCGACCUCGGGGUGAGGAGAAGCAGGCCCUGCACCUGCUUCUGGGCUGAGCUGAGCUAUAGCUUCUGCCGGAUGAGGAUGGACAGGACCCCAGCUGUAUGGGUUUGGAGGGCGCUUAGCCAUCAGCCCAGGACAAGGAUGGUCCAGAGCCUAGCCCCUGGGCUGCCUGCACCCCUCUCCGUCUGGGGUUGGCUGGAAGGACAGGCUGAAAUCAGAGUGUGCCUUCUGUGUCCUGUGACUCACAUUUCCACACCGGAUACAAGUGUUGUGAUGGCUAAUUUUGUGUCAGCUUGACUGGCCUGUGGGGAGUCCAGACAUUUGGUCCAACAUGAUUCUGGGAGUGUCUGUGAGGGCAUUUCUGGAUCACGUUAACAUGAACUGGUGGACUGCAUGAAGCAGAUUGCCCUCCCAGUGUGGGUGGGCCUCGUCUAAUCAGGUGAAGGCCUGCAUAGUGCAAACAGGUGGAGGAAGAGGGAACUCGUCCUGUUCAGCUGCCUGACCUGGGACAUCAGUCUUCUUCUGUCCUUGGACUUGCACUGGAACAUUGGCUCUCCUGGGCCUCCAGCUUGCUGAGCCAGGUGUAUGUGUACAGGCACCCUGUAGGUUCUCUCUCUCUCGAGAACCCUAGUACUGCUGUCUUCCCACGUGAAUGCCUGAGGACCUGCUGCAAUGUUUCUGUGACUGUGCCCUGAUUCAUUUGUUCCUUCCCUGGCGGUUGAGCCUGUUGACAAUGUUUUGCCACCACGUGCUGCCGUGAGUAUCCUUGUACUGUAGUACACGCGUGGAAGAAUUCCUGAAAGGCAUGAGUGUAGCAGACGUCAUUUGCAAAAUUUACUUUUGGGGAGCCACUAUGAAUUCCACUGUAGGGAAGUUAGUUUUUUUCUCUUUUAGGAUGGCUGCUGUUUUUUGUGUUGGAUAAGAAGUCUUUGCAUACAUAUGUGCUUGAUUUUCUUCCAAAAGUUUUUGUUUUAAUUUUUUUUUUUAAGAUCGACUUAUUUAUUUUAGAUGGAGAGAGAACACAGUGGGAGGGCAGAGGGAGAGGGAGAAGCCGGCUCCCUGCUGAGCGUGGAGCCCGACAUGGGGCUCGAUCCCACAACCCUGACAUCAUGACCUGAGCCUAAAUCAAGAGUCGGAUGCUUAGUGGACUGAGCCACCCAGGUGCUGUUUUGAUUUUUUAAGUUUGGUUUUUAAAUUCAUCUCAGCUUGAGUAUUUUAUUGAAGUAAGAUUCACAUAACAAAAAAUACCCAUUUUAUUUUUUUAUUUUUAACUUCUUAUUGAGAUAUAAUUGACAUA